This 297-nucleotide ribosomal RNA is filed under the name Ehrlichia chaffeensis. RNAcentral describes it as "partial 16S ribosomal RNA". It matches the Rfam family "Bacterial small subunit ribosomal RNA", at positions 124 to 437 of the family's 1533-position model. Lineage: Bacteria; Pseudomonadati; Pseudomonadota; Alphaproteobacteria; Rickettsiales; Anaplasmataceae. The record is from RNAcentral.
AUCUACCUAGUAGUAUGGAAUAGCCAUUAGAAAUGAUGGGUAAUACUGUAUAAUCCCUGCGGGGGAAAGAUUUAUCGCUAUUAGAUGAGCCUACGUUAGAUUAGCUAGUUGGGAAGGUAAUGGCUUACCAAGGCUAUGAUCUAUAGCUGGUCUGAGAGGACGAUCAGCCACACUGGAACUGAGAUACGGUCCAGACUCCUACGGGAGGCAGCAGUGGGGAAUAUUGGACAAUGGGCGAAAGCCUGAUCCAGCUAUGCCGCGUGAGUGAAGAAGGCCUUCGGGGUGUAAAACUCUUUC